Molecule: ribozyme, 78 nt
Filed under: Crocodylus porosus (Australian saltwater crocodile)
Lineage: Eukaryota; Metazoa; Chordata; Crocodylia; Crocodylidae
Description: Mammalian CPEB3 ribozyme (ENSCPRG00005006953.1)
Rfam family: Mammalian CPEB3 ribozyme
About the family: The mammalian CPEB3 ribozyme is a self cleaving RNA located in the second intron of the CPEB3 gene which belongs to a family of genes regulating messenger RNA polyadenylation. This ribozyme is highly conserved and found only in mammals.
Source: Rfam by way of RNAcentral
AGGGUUUUGUAGGGGGCUAUAGCAGAAGUGUUCACAUAAUGACCACUGUCAUAUUCCAACAAAUAUGCAAAUUCUGCU